RNAcentral lists this ribosomal RNA (809 nucleotides) under uncultured bacterium. RNAcentral describes it as "bacterial SSU rRNA". It matches the Rfam family "Bacterial small subunit ribosomal RNA", at positions 8 to 796 of the family's 1533-position model. The record is from RNAcentral.
AGAGUUUGAUCAUGGCUCAGAACGAACGCUGGCGGCGUGCCUAACACAUGCAAGUCGAACGUGAUUCAUCCUUCGGGGUGAUGAAAGUGGCGCACGGGUGAGUAAUGCGUAGAUAAUCUGCCUGGUGAUCUGGGAUAACAUCUCGAAAGGGGUGCUAAUACCGGAUAAGCCCACGGAGUCCUCGGGCUCUGCGGGAAAAGGGGGGGACCUUCGGGCCUUCUGUCACCAGAUGAGUCUACGUACCAUUAGCUAGUUGGUGGGGUAAAGGCCUACCAAGGCGACGAUGGUUAGCUGGUCUGAGAGGAUGAUCAGCCACACUGGAACUGAGACACGGUCCAGACUCCUACGGGAGGCAGCAGUGGGGAAUUUUGCGCAAUGGGGGAAACCCUGACGCAGCAACGCCGCGUGAGUGAUGAAGGCCUUCGGGUCGUAAAGCUCUGUCAGAGGGAAAGAAAUGUCGGGUGGCUAAUAUCCACUUGACUUGACGGUACCCUCAAAGGAAGCACCGGCUAACUCCGUGCCAGCAGCCGCGGUAAUACGGAGGGUGCGAGCGUUGUUCGGAAUUAUUGGGCGUAAAGCGCGUGUAGGCGGUUUGUUAAGUCUGAUGUGAAAGCCCCGGGCUCAACCUGGGAAGUGCAUUGGAUACUGGCAGACUUGAAUACGGGAGAGGGCAGUGGAAUUCCUAGUGUAGGAGUGAAAUCCGUAGAUAUUAGGAGGAACACCGGUGGCGAAGGCGGCUGCCUGGACCGAUAUUGACGCUGAGACGCGAAAGCGUGGGGAGCAAACAGGAUUAGAUACCCUAGUAGUCC